UACAGAGACUGCAAGCGUUAUUCGGAUUCACUGGGCGUAAAGGGUGCGCAGGCGGCCAAGUGUGUGAGGCGUGAAAGCCUGGGGCUUAACUCCAGAAUUGCACCUCAAACUACUUGGCUAGAGCAUUGGAGAGGGUAGCAGAAUUCAUGGUGUAGCAGUGAAAUGCGUAGAUAUCAUGAGGAAUACCAGUGGCGAAGGCGACUACCUGGCCUGUUCUUGACGCUGAGGCGCGAAAGCUAGGGGAGCAAACGGG
Molecule: ribosomal RNA, 253 nt
Filed under: uncultured bacterium
Lineage: Bacteria
Description: partial 16S ribosomal RNA
Rfam family: Bacterial small subunit ribosomal RNA
Source: RNAcentral